Molecule: long non-coding RNA, 462 nt
Organism: Oncorhynchus tshawytscha (Chinook salmon)
Lineage: Eukaryota; Metazoa; Chordata; Actinopteri; Salmoniformes; Salmonidae
Exons: 4
Source: RefSeq, a predicted model, not a curated record
CAAUCACUCGCUCUCUCUCGUUCUGUUGAUCUGAGCACUUCCUUUGGUAGCGGAGGAGAGCAGAGCAGCGUGUGAGCGUGUGACUUAAGUGUGUGUGUGUGUGUCCAGUGCAGGGAUAGCAGUGGAGAGGGAGAGAGAGAUAGAGAGAGACAGAAUAGCAGCAGAGUGAGAGCCAGCGCUCAGUAACAGGACAGAGAGAGAAGAGAGACGACUCGGAGUCCACGACUAACUGCGUGUAGGAGAGAAUAAAUGCUGAGUGUGAGAGAGAGGAGCGUUAGACACCAGUGGACAUCAUCUUUCCAGACCAAGGCCUUCAGGGAUUGCUGCUGUCGGCAGAUACAACAAGGUUCACACGAGUAAAGAUCUACAACAGUCUUCUGACUUCACCCUCACUGGCACCACAUCAGUCCCCUCACUGUCAGCUGUCAGCUGUACAUGGAUACCCCCAGCUGGGCAGGUCAG